RNAcentral lists this ribosomal RNA (649 nucleotides) under Diaphorobacter oryzae. RNAcentral describes it as "bacterial SSU rRNA". It matches the Rfam family "Bacterial small subunit ribosomal RNA", at positions 112 to 757 of the family's 1533-position model. The record is from RNAcentral. Lineage: Bacteria; Pseudomonadati; Pseudomonadota; Betaproteobacteria; Burkholderiales; Comamonadaceae.
AAUACAUCGGAACGUGCCCGAUCGUGGGGGAUAACGGAGCGAAAGCUUUGCUAAUACCGCAUACGAUCUACGGAUGAAAGCGGGGGAUCUUCGGACCUCGCGCGGACGGAGCGGCCGAUGGCAGAUUAGGUAGUUGGUGGGAUAAAAGCUUACCAAGCCGACGAUCUGUAGCUGGUCUGAGAGGAUGAUCAGCCACACUGGGACUGAGACACGGCCCAGACUCCUACGGGAGGCAGCAGUGGGGAAUUUUGGACAAUGGGGGCAACCCUGAUCCAGCCAUGCCGCGUGCAGGAUGAAGGCCUUCGGGUUGUAAACUGCUUUUGUACGGAACGAAAAGACUCUGGUUAAUACCUGGGGUCCAUGACGGUACCGUAAGAAUAAGCACCGGCUAACUACGUGCCAGCAGCCGCGGUAAUACGUAGGGUGCAAGCGUUAAUCGGAAUUACUGGGCGUAAAGCGUGCGCAGGCGGUGAUGUAAGACAGAGGUGAAAUCCCCGGGCUCAACCUGGGAACUGCCUUUGUGACUGCAUCGCUGGAGUGCGGCAGAGGGGGAUGGAAUUCCGCGUGUAGCAGUGAAAUGCGUAGAUAUGCGGAGGAACACCGAUGGCGAAGGCAAUCCCCUGGGCCUGCACUGACGCUCAUGCACGAA